RNAcentral lists this unclassified non-coding RNA (263 nucleotides) under Hevea brasiliensis (rubber tree). Lineage: Eukaryota; Viridiplantae; Streptophyta; Magnoliopsida; Malpighiales; Euphorbiaceae. The record is from RNAcentral.
GACAAUAUUGUCGAGAUCAUUUGCUGAAUACUGCAUAAUAGGCUGGGAAAAUCUUCCUCGAACUCUACUUCUCUACUACACGAAUUUUGUGUCGUCUCCAGAGGGUUAUUUCCAAACAGUCAUAUGCAACUCUGAGGAAUACAGGAACACCACAGUGAACCAUGAUCUUCACUACAUUACAUGGGACAUCCCUCCGAAACAACAUCCAAGGUCCCUCGGUCCGAAGGAUUACAGGAGAAUGGUUUUAAGCAACAGGCCAUUUG